This 257-nucleotide long non-coding RNA is filed under the name Elaeis guineensis (African oil palm). RNAcentral's name for it is "long non-coding RNA (EGUI_LNC065270)". Lineage: Eukaryota; Viridiplantae; Streptophyta; Magnoliopsida; Arecales; Arecaceae. The record is from RNAcentral.
AUCUUUAUCAGGUUCUAUCCACCCCAUAUGAUGCCAUGUUUAAAUAGGAAGAGAGCUUGGUUUUAGGUAGGAGAUAAGAGUCGAAACUCCCUUAGACUCCAGAAUUAUUGUGCCAUCCAACACCUCUCCUUUUGCACCCAGAUUAUCUCAUGAAGAAAGGAGUUUAAAAGAGCUUCUCACACACUAAAAAACUCACACAAAAAGAGUGAGGCGUGGCAUCCAAAAUCUGGUAGGGUAUGGGACUCCUUAUGGCGCAU